CCUGGUAGCGGGGGAUAGCUAUUGGAAACGAUAGCUAAUACCGCAUAACAGUAGAUAUUGCAUGAUAUCUGCUUGAAAGGUGCAAAUGCAUCACUACCAGAUGGACCUGCGUUGUAUUAGCUAGUUGGUGAGGUAACGGCUCACCAAGGCGACGAUACAUAGCCGACCUGAGAGGGUGAUCGGCCACACUGGGACUGAGACACGGCCCAG
RNAcentral lists this ribosomal RNA (210 nucleotides) under uncultured bacterium. RNAcentral's name for it is "partial 16S ribosomal RNA". It matches the Rfam family "Bacterial small subunit ribosomal RNA", at positions 129 to 334 of the family's 1533-position model. The record is from RNAcentral.